GAUGAACGCUGGCGGCGUGCCUAAUACAUGCAAGUCGAGCGAACAGACGAGGAGCUUGCUCCUCUGAUGUUAGCGGCGGACGGGUGAGUAACACGUGGAUAACCUACCUAUAAGACUGGGAUAAAUUCGGGAAACCGGAGCUAAUACCGGAUAACAUGUUGAACCGCAUGGUUCAACAGUGAAAGACGGUCUUGCUGUCACUUAUAGAUGGAUCCGCGCCGCAUUAGCUAGUUGGUAAGGUAACGGCUUACCAAGGCAACGAUGCGUAGCCGACCUGAGAGGGUGAUCGGCCACACUGGAACUGAGACACGGUCCAGACUCCUACGGGAGGCAGCAGUAGGGAAUCUUCCGCAAUGGGCGAAAGCCUGACGGAGCAACGCCGCGUGAGUGAAGAAGGUCUUCGGAUCGUAAAACUCUGUUAUUAGGGAAGAACAAAUGUGUAAGUAACUAUGCACGUCUUGACGGUACCUAAUCAGAAAGCCACGGCUAACUACGUG
Molecule: ribosomal RNA, 497 nt
Filed under: uncultured bacterium
Lineage: Bacteria
Description: partial 16S ribosomal RNA
Rfam family: Bacterial small subunit ribosomal RNA
Source: RNAcentral